UACGUAGGUGGCGAGCGUUGUCCGGAAUUACUGGGCGUAAAGGGCGUGUAGGCGGCUUUUUAAGUCAGACGUGAAACCCCUGGGCUUAACCCAGGACCUGCGUUUGAAACUGGAGAGCUUGAGGGCCGGAGAGGACAGUGGAAUUCCCAGUGUAGCGGUGAAAUGCGUAGAUAUUGGGAGGAACACCAGUGGCGAAGGCGACUGUCUGGACGGCACCUGACGCUGAGGCGCGAAAGCCAGGGGAGCAAACGGG
Molecule: ribosomal RNA, 253 nt
Filed under: uncultured bacterium
Lineage: Bacteria
Description: partial 16S ribosomal RNA
Rfam family: Bacterial small subunit ribosomal RNA
Source: RNAcentral